AGAUUGAACGCUGGCGGCAUGCCUAACACAUGCAAGUCGAACGGGAGUAGCAAUACUCUAGUGGCGGACGGGUGAGGAAUACGUAGGAAUUUGCCCUUAAGUGGGGGAUAACCCGGGGAAACCCGGAUUAAUACCGCAUGACCUCGAAAGAGCAAAGUGGGGGAUCGCAAGACCUCACGCUUUUGGAGAAGCCUACGUCGGAUUAGCUAGUUGGUGAGGUAAUGGCUCACCAAGGCGACGAUCCGUAACUGGUCUGAGAGGAUGAUCAGUCACACCGGAACUGAGACACGGUCCGGACUCCUACGGGAGCAGCAGUGGGGAAUAGUUGGACAAGUGGGCGCAAGCCUGAUCCAGCAAUGCCGCGUGUGUAGAAGAAGGCCGUUCGGGUUAGUAA
RNAcentral lists this ribosomal RNA (394 nucleotides) under uncultured soil bacterium. RNAcentral describes it as "bacterial SSU rRNA". It matches the Rfam family "Bacterial small subunit ribosomal RNA", at positions 26 to 429 of the family's 1533-position model. The record is from RNAcentral.